Molecule: ribosomal RNA, 491 nt
Filed under: uncultured bacterium
Lineage: Bacteria
Description: bacterial SSU rRNA
Rfam family: Bacterial small subunit ribosomal RNA
Source: RNAcentral
GACGAACGCUGGCGGCGUGCUUAACACAUGCAAGUCGAGCGAUGAAGCGCCUUCGGGUGUGAAUUAGCGGCGAACGGGUGAGGAACACGUGAGAAAUCUGCCUUCAACACUGGGAUAACUCCGGGAAACCGGGGCUAAUACCGGAUAUGAAACCUGCGGGCAUCCGCGGGUUUGGAAAGUUUUUCGGUUGAAGAUGAUCUCGCGGCCUAUCAGCUUGUUGGUGAGGUAAUGGCUCACCAAGGCGACGACGGGUAGCCGGCCUGAGAGGGCGACCGGCCACACUGGGACUGAGACACGGCCCAGACUCCUACGGGAGGCAGCAGUGGGGAAUAUUGGGGCAAUGGAGGAAACUCUGACCCCAGCGACGCCGCGUGCGGGAUGAAGGCCUUCGGGUUGUAAACUGCUUUUGUACGGAACGAAAAGACUCUGGUUAAUACCUGGGGUCCAUGACGGUACCGUAAGAAUAAGCACCGGCUAACUACGUGCCAGCA